Molecule: ribosomal RNA, 429 nt
Filed under: Bacteroidota bacterium
Lineage: Bacteria; Pseudomonadati; Bacteroidota
Description: Bacteroidetes bacterium partial 16S ribosomal RNA
Rfam family: Bacterial small subunit ribosomal RNA
Source: RNAcentral
UAGGGAAUCUUCCGCAAUGGACGCAAGUCUGACGGAGCAACGCCGCGUGAGUGAAGAAGGAUUUCGGUUCGUAAAACUCUGUUGUUAGAGAAGAACAGCGCAUAGAGUAACUGUUAUGCGUGUGACGGUAUCUAACCAGAAAGCCACGGCUAACUACGUGCCAGCAGCCGCGGUAAUACGUAGGUGGCAAGCGUUGUCCGGAUUUAUUGGGCGUAAAGCGAGCGCAGGCGGUCAAUUAAGUCUGAUGUGAAAGCCCCCGGCUCAACCGGGGAGGGUCAUUGGAAACUGGUUGACUUGAGUGCAGAAGAGGAGAGUGGAAUUCCAUGUGUAGCGGUGAAAUGCGUAGAUAUAUGGAGGAACACCAGUGGCGAAGGCGACUCUCUGGUCUGUAACUGACGCUGUGGUUCGAAAGCGUGGGUAGCAAACAGG